AACGAACGCUAUCGGUAUGCUUAACACAUGCAAGUCGGACGGACUAAUUAUGUCUUUCUCCUUUUAGUUAGUGGCAGACGGGUGAGUAACACGUGGGAAUCUGCCCAUCAGUACGGAAUAACUUUUAGAAAUAAAAGCUAAUACCGUAUAUUCUCUACAUAGGUAAGAUUUAUCGCUGAUGGAUGAGCCCUCGUCAGAUUAGGUAGUUGGUUAGGUAACGGCUCACCAAGCAGACGAUCUGUAACUGGUCUGAGAGGAUGAUCAGCAACAGUGGGACUGAGACAAGGGCGAGACACGUAAGGGAGGCAGAAGUGGGGAAAAUUGGAAAAUGGGCGAAAGAAUGAAAAAGCAAGACCGAGAGAGUGAUAAAGGAGGUAGGGUAGUAAAGAAAUUUUAGAAAGGAAGAUAAUGAGGUAACUAGAAGAAAAAGAACCGGCUAACACCGU
Molecule: ribosomal RNA, 446 nt
Filed under: uncultured bacterium
Lineage: Bacteria
Description: partial 16S ribosomal RNA
Rfam family: Bacterial small subunit ribosomal RNA
Source: RNAcentral